ACGCACGCUGGCGGCCUGCCUAACACAUGCAAGUCGAACGAGACCUUCGGGUCUAGUGGCGCACGGGUGCGUAACGCGUGGGAACCUGCACUUAGGUUCGGAAUAACUCCCCGAAAGGGGUGCUAAUACCGGAUAAUGUCUUCGGACCAAAGAUUUAUCGCCUUUGGAUGGGCCCGCGUUGGAUUAGCUAGUUGGUAGGGUAAAAGCCUACCAAGGCGACGAUCCAUAGCUGGUCUGAGAGGAUGAUCAGCCACACUGGGACUGAGACACGGCCCAGACUCCUACGGGAGGCAGCAGUGGGGAAUAUUGGACAAUGGGCGAAAGCCUGAUCCAGCAAUGCCGCGUGAGUGAUGAAGGCCUUAGGGUUGUAAAGCUCUUUUACCCGGGAUGAUAAUGACAGUACCGGGAGAAUAAGCUCCGGCUAACUCCGUG
RNAcentral lists this ribosomal RNA (432 nucleotides) under uncultured bacterium. RNAcentral describes it as "partial 16S ribosomal RNA". It matches the Rfam family "Bacterial small subunit ribosomal RNA", at positions 29 to 507 of the family's 1533-position model. The record is from RNAcentral.